This 442-nucleotide ribosomal RNA is filed under the name uncultured bacterium. RNAcentral describes it as "partial 16S ribosomal RNA". It matches the Rfam family "Bacterial small subunit ribosomal RNA", at positions 29 to 507 of the family's 1533-position model. The record is from RNAcentral.
AUGAACGCUGGCGGCAUGCCUAACACAUGCAAGUCGAUCGGUAAGGCUCUUCGGAGUACACGAGCGGCGGACGGCUGAGUAACGCGUAGGAACACACCCUGCAGUGAGGGAUAAGACACCGAAAGGUGUUCUAAUACCGCAUACGGUCUUCGGAUUAAAGCAUUUAUGCGCUGAAGGAGUGGCCUGCGUCAUAUUAGAUAGUUGGUGAGGUAAUGGCUCACCAAGUCGAUGAUGUGUAGCUGGUCUGAGAGGAUGAUCAGCCAGACUGGAACUGAGACACGGUCCAGACUCCUACGGGAGGCAGCAGUGAGGAAUAUUUCACAAUGAGCGAAAGCGUGAUGGAGCAAUGCCGCGUGCAGGAUGAAGGCCCUCGGGUUGUAAACUGCUUUUAUAAGAGAAGAUUAUGACGGUAACUUAUGAAUAAGGGACGGCUAACUACGUG